Molecule: ribosomal RNA, 499 nt
Filed under: uncultured Actinomycetes bacterium
Lineage: Bacteria; Bacillati; Actinomycetota; Actinomycetes
Description: bacterial SSU rRNA
Rfam family: Bacterial small subunit ribosomal RNA
Source: RNAcentral
AGAGUUUGAUCCUGGCUCAGGACGAACGCUAGUUCUGCGCGCUUAACACAUGCAAGUCGAGCGGAAAGGCCCUUCGGGGUACUCGAGCGGCGAACGGGUGAGUAACACGUGAGCAACCUACCCUUGGCUCUGGGAUAACCCCGGGAAACCGGGGCUAAUACCGGAUACCCACGCACCUCCGCAUGGGGGUGCGUGAAAAGCUUUUCGGCUGGGGAUGGGCUCGCGGCCUAUCAGCUUGUUGGCGGGGUAACGGCCCACCAAGGCUUCGACGGGUAGCCGGCCUGAGAGGGCGACCGGCCACACUGGGACUGAGAUACGGCCCAGGCUCCUACGGGAGGCAGCAGUGGGGAAUAUUGCACAAUGGGCGCAAGCCUGAUGCAGCGACGCAGCGUGAGGGACGAAGGCCUUCGGGUUGUAAACCUCUUUCGGCAGGGACGAAGCGAAAGUGACGGUACCUGAAGAAGAAGCGCCGGCCAACUACGUGCCAGCAGCCGCGGUA